CAAUUUGUUUUUUCUUUGUAACUCUUUUGGAAUGAGUAGUAUAAAGAUAGUCAGUUAGGGCAGACUCAAAAGGAGACCCUGAAAAUAUUUCUCCUUCUCCCUUUGGAGAAGAAGCCCCCACCCCUAUAUUUUCUCCAUCUUCUCCAAAGAAAAGAAGACUGCCGCAUAUUCUCUCCUUUGAGACAACCGCUGCUCCAUCUCACCGGCGAACCACCACAGAACCACUCCCAACCGUCCAGCGCCACCCCUUCCCCCCUCAUCUCCUUGCUCCGUUUCCAGAUUGCCGCCACCCAACUAAAAUUUCACUGCCCAACUACUCUUCUUCAUCUUCCUUCCUCACUACUGAUAAAGAAGCUCAACAGCCACGAUGAGCUCCAACAACCAAUAGCUCGCCAGCGUGAAUCAAGAUCAACACAAUAGCAAACAUCAACGAGCAGAUGCUUCGUCCUCCAGCAAAACAACAAGCUCCAUCUUCAACGAUGUCGGCCUAUGAUGCCUAUUGGGUACCUAUUGUCUUGGUACUCAUACUACACUCUGCAUCUACUUUCGUGAUGCUGGAUUGAGCACCAGCUACCGUUCGUGGAAAGAUCGAACAUGUUGCAGUCAGCUUCGGAGACUAGGGUGAUCACUUGAUGUUUUUGGAUCAUUUCUGUCUCCUUCAGUAUAGAUGGCUCGUCUUUUGCUUUUUGACACUAGCCAAUUGUUGUAUAUAUUUGUGGUCCAUUUUCGGGACUUUUACUCAUAUUUUAUUUUGUAGAAGCUCUGUACUUGUGACCUUCAGGUUUUGGGAGGGACCUUUAGUUGUUUAUAUCAUGUUUUGGUUUACUUCGACUUA
Long non-coding RNA from Solanum dulcamara, 835 nucleotides. RefSeq lists it as uncharacterized. Lineage: Eukaryota; Viridiplantae; Streptophyta; Magnoliopsida; Solanales; Solanaceae. The record is from RefSeq and is a predicted model, not a curated record. The transcript is spliced from 2 exons.